RNAcentral lists this ribosomal RNA (526 nucleotides) under uncultured bacterium. RNAcentral's name for it is "bacterial SSU rRNA". It matches the Rfam family "Bacterial small subunit ribosomal RNA", at positions 777 to 1301 of the family's 1533-position model. The record is from RNAcentral.
AAUAGAUACCCCGGUAGUCCACGCCGUAAACGAUGAGUGCUAGGUGUUGGUGGGGACACCCAUUAGUGCCGCAGCUAACGCAUUAAGCACUCCGCCUGGGGAGUACGGUCGCAAGACUGAAACUCAAAGGAAUUGACGGGGACCCGCACAAGCAGCGGAGCAUGUGGUUUAAUUCGACGCAACGCGAAGAACCUUACCAGGGCUUGACAUCCCUCUGACCGGACUAGAGAUAGUUCUUUCUCUUCGGAGACAGAGGAGACAGGUGGUGCAUGGUUGCCGUCAGCUCGUGUCGUGAGAUGUUGGGUUAAGUCCCGCAACGAGCGCAACCCUUGCCUUUAGUUGCCAUCAGGUAAAGCUGGGCACUCUAGAGGGACUGCCGGUGACAAACCGGAGGAAGGUGGGGAUGACGUCAAAUCAUCAUGCCCCUUAUGUCCUGGGCUACACACGUGCUACAAUGGUCGGUACAACGGGAAGCGAGACUGCGAAGUUGAGCAAAUCCCAAUAAGCCGAUCCCAGUUCGGAUUGU